This 260-nucleotide ribosomal RNA is filed under the name uncultured Staphylococcus sp. RNAcentral's name for it is "partial 16S ribosomal RNA". It matches the Rfam family "Bacterial small subunit ribosomal RNA", at positions 524 to 783 of the family's 1533-position model. The record is from RNAcentral. Lineage: Bacteria; Bacillati; Bacillota; Bacilli; Caryophanales; Staphylococcaceae.
UACGUAGGUGGCAAGCGUUAUCCGGAAUUAUUGGGCGUAAAGCGCGCGUAGGCGGUUUUUUAAGUCUGAUGUGAAAGCCCACGGCUCAACCGUGGAGGGUCAUUGGAAACUGGAAAACUUGAGUGCAGAAGAGGAAAGUGGAAUUCCAUGUGUAGCGGCGAAAUGCGCAGAGAUAUGGAGGAACACCAGUGGCGAAGGCGACUUUCUGGUCUGUAACUGACGCUGAUGUGCGAAAGCGUGGGGAUCAAACAGGAUUAGAU